Molecule: ribosomal RNA, 253 nt
Filed under: uncultured bacterium
Lineage: Bacteria
Description: partial 16S ribosomal RNA
Rfam family: Bacterial small subunit ribosomal RNA
Source: RNAcentral
GACGAACCGUGCGAACGUUGUUCGGAAUCACUGGGCGUAAAGCGCACGUAGGCGGACUCUUAAGUCGGGGGUGAAAUCCUGGAGCUCAACUCCAGAACUGCCUUCGAUACUGGGAGUCUUGAGUUCGGGAGAGGUGAGUGGAACUGCGAGUGUAGAGGUGAAAUUCGUAGAUAUUCGCAAGAACACCAGUGGCGAAGGCGGCUCACUGGCCCGAUACUGACGCUGAGGUGCGAAAGCGUGGGGAGCAAACAGG